GAUGAAGAACGUAGCGAAAUGCGAUAAGUAAUGCGAAUUGCAGAAUUUCCGUGAGUCAUCGAAUCUUUGAACGCACAUUGCGCCCUUUGGUAUUCCAAAGGGCAUGCCUGUUCGAGCGUCAUUUGUACCCUCAAGCUUUGCUUGGUGUUGGGCGUCUUGUCUCCAGUCCGCUGGAGACUCGCCUUAAAGUCAUUGGCAGCCGGCCUACUGGUUUCGGAGCGCAGCACAAGUCGCACUCUUUUCCAGCCAAGGUCAGUGUCCAACAAGCCUUUUUUCAACUUUUGACCUCGGAUCAGGUAGGGAUACCCGCUGAACUUAAGCAUAUCAAUAAGCGGAGGA
RNAcentral lists this unclassified non-coding RNA (339 nucleotides) under soil metagenome. RNAcentral describes it as "partial contains 5.8S ribosomal RNA, internal transcribed spacer 2, and large subunit ribosomal RNA". The stretch from base 1 to 121 matches the Rfam family "5.8S ribosomal RNA", at positions 35 to 154 of the family's 154-position model. The record is from RNAcentral.